RNAcentral lists this ribosomal RNA (1321 nucleotides) under metagenome. Its description in RNAcentral is "bacterial SSU rRNA". It matches the Rfam family "Archaeal small subunit ribosomal RNA", at positions 4 to 1312 of the family's 1478-position model. The record is from RNAcentral.
CCGGUUGAUCCUGCCGGAGCCUACUGUUAUUGGGUUAGGACUAAGCCAUGCUAGUCAAGGUGUGAACUAUGUCACGUCUGGCGAAAUGCUUCGUAACGCGUAGUUAACCUACCCUCGGAACAGGUGACAACAGGGGGAAACUCCUGCUAAUCUCUGAUAGACUAAUCAUGCUGGAAUGCGGGUUAGUUUAAAACGUGCACCGCAUGUGGUGUAACGGUCCGAGGAUGGGACUGCGUUCCAUUAGGUAGUAGGUGGUGUAAAGGACCACCUAGCCGAGGAUGGAUAGGGGCCGUGAGAGCGGUAGCCCCAAGAUGGCCACUGAGACAACGGGCCGGGCCCUACGGGGUGCAGCAGGUACGAAACCUCAUCAAUGCACGAAAGUGUGAAUGGGCUAACCCAAGUGCUGCCCGUCGUGGUAGCUUUUAACGAGUGUAAAUAGCUCGUAGAAUAAGGAGAGGACAAGACUGGUGCCAGCCCCCGCGGUAAAACCAGCUCUUCGAAUGGUAGGCAUUAUUGGGCCUAAAGCGUACGUAGCCGGGCUUGCAAGUCUCCAGAUAAAGCUCACGUCCUAAGCGUGAAAUCCCUGGGGAUACUACAGGCCUUGGGACCGGGAUAGGGCAAGGGUACGUGUCCGGUAGGGGUGAAAUCCUAUAAUCGGAUACGGACCACCGGUGGCGAAGGCGCUUGCCUGGAACGGGUCCGACGGUGAGGUACGAAAGCCAGGGUAGCGAGCCGGAUUAGAUACCCGGGUAGUCCUGGCCGUAAACGAUGCGGGUUAGGUGUUGCGGCGCACACGAAGCGUCGCGGUGCCGAAGCGAAGGCGUUAAACCUGCCGCCUGGGAAGUACGCUCGCAAGGGUGAAACUUAAAGGAAUUGGCGGGGGAGCACCACAAGGGGUGGAGCCUGCGGUUUAAUUGGACCCAACGCCGGAAAGCUUACCUGGGCAGACAGCAUGAUGAAAGUCAGGUUGAAGGCCUUACUUAAAGAGCUGAGAGGAGGUGCAUGGCCGUCGCCAGCUCGUGCCGUGAGGUGUCCUGUUAAGUCAGGCAACGAGCGAGACCGGAACCCUUAGUUGCCAGCGACAAGUGCGCUUGGUCGGGUACACUAAGGGGACCGCCAGUGAUGAAACUGGAGGAAGGAUCCGUCCACGGCAGGUCAGUAUGCCCCGAUAGCCCAGGGCCACACGCGGGCUACAAUGGCACAGACAAUAGGUCCCGAUACCGAAAGGUGAAGGUAAUCCCGAAACUGUGUCCCAGUUGGAAUUGAGGCUUGCAACUCAGCCUCAUGAACUUGGAAUCCCUAGUAGUCGCAUAUCAUCAUC